Molecule: unclassified non-coding RNA, 379 nt
Filed under: uncultured Gammaproteobacteria bacterium
Lineage: Bacteria; Pseudomonadati; Pseudomonadota; Gammaproteobacteria
Description: contains 16S-23S intergenic spacer region
Source: RNAcentral
UCCGGCUUGUCGCCGGCGGUCCCUUUAGAGUGCCCAACUGAAUGAUGGCAACUAAAGGCGAGGGUUGCGCUCGUUGCGGGACUUAACCCAACAUCUCACGACACGAGCUGACGACAGCCAUGCAGCACCUGUGUCCAGGCUCCCUUUCGGGCACCCCUACCUCUCAGCAGGGUUCCUGGCAUGUCAAGGGUAGGUAAGGUUUUUCGCGUUGCAUCGAAUUAAUCCACAUAAUCCACCGCUUGUGCGGGUCCCCGUCAAUUCCUUUGAGUUUUAACCUUGCGGCCGUACUCCCCAGGCGGUCAACUUCACGCGUUAGCGCCGGCACUCAAGGGGUCGCUCCCCCAAGCACCUAGUGCCCAUCGUUUACGGCGUGGACUAC